This 162-nucleotide ribosomal RNA is filed under the name Boechera rectissima. RNAcentral describes it as "5.8S ribosomal RNA". It matches the Rfam family "5.8S ribosomal RNA". Rfam says of the family: 5.8S ribosomal RNA (5.8S rRNA) is a component of the large subunit of the eukaryotic ribosome. It is transcribed by RNA polymerase I as part of the 45S precursor that also contains 18S and 28S rRNA. Functionally, it is thought that 5.8S rRNA may be involved in ribosome translocation. The record is from RNAcentral. Lineage: Eukaryota; Viridiplantae; Streptophyta; Magnoliopsida; Brassicales; Brassicaceae.
AACGACUCUCGGCAACGGAUAUCUCGGCUCUCGCAUCGAUGAAGAACGUAGCGAAAUGCGAUACUUGGUGUGAAUUGCAGAAUCCCGUGAACCAUCGAGUCUUUGAACGCAAGUUGCGCCCCAGGCCUUCUGGCCGAGGGCACGUCUGCCUGGGUGUCACAA